UUUUUUACUUUAUUUUUAGUGUAGCUCUUGUUGAUCAUUAUACCGGACUGUUUACUUUUAGAGAUAUUCUAUUUCUAGAUGUUCAAGGACAUGCAUACAUUCUUGAUUACACUGUGUGUGCUGCUUCAAUGAAAAAAGGUGAAAAUAAGAUGUCGUGUUUAAAUUUUGUGAGGUAGGAUAUUUUUUGUGUUCCAGGGUGUUCUGUCUCAAAUUACACCAGUUUUAAAAUACUUCUGAUUGAUUUGUUCUGUAUGUUUUCUCUCAUUGACAAAAACACACAAAAAGACAAAAAUAAUAAAUAUUGUAUACCUAUACAUCUUUGUAAGAACUCUGAAAUGGAUAUAAAUAAGAAAGAUUAGUAAUUUGUCACUUUUAUACAAAGAAAUGGACAUACAGAAAUCUAUAUGCCACUUUUCUUCAUCUGUUACAACAUAGCCAUACUCUAGGGUCUAUGACUGAGGUUGCAUCUAAAACAAAAACAAAAUUGUAAAUUAUUAGUGUUUGAGAACGUUGGUGUCACUUCCAUCAAAUGGGUCCAUGACUGAAACAUCCUCUCGGCUGCAUCUGCAAAAAAAAUCUGUAGUGUUUUGGAGAACGUUGGUGUCACUUUCAUCAAACGGGCCCUUUAACAAGCUCAUGGUAGAGUGAUCUUGUUACUAUUGUAUAGUGCUGCGGAAACUAUGCGCUACCCUCCCUGGUCUAGUACAACGGAGUCUAUUCAAGGUCUAUGACUGUAACAUCCCCCUGCUGCAAUCUGCAAAAAUCAAAAUUAUAGAAUUAAACAUCUGUUGGUGAACUCUGAAAUGAAACAUAAAUAAAUAUACAAAAUUACAUACGGGCAUAUAAGAAUAAAAUCAAUUAAACUUUAUUUUAUUUUCUUUAAAGUAAAAUUCAAAAUUUAAAUUUUUUUUUUUAAUCAACUUUUUUUUACUUUAUUUUUCCAUGAAAUUUAGCAUUGUAACUGCUGUAAAAAUACCAAAACUAUUGCCAUUUGGCUUAGUUAGUCUGUUUCUUAUGUUACCUUUUCUGACAUGGGACACAGACUUCUUUUUAAAUGAGUUUUACUGUGUGAAUUGUUUUUUCUACGUUGGCUCCUAGAGGUAUAGGUGUGGGUUGAGAUCUCUCAAACCUGUUUAACCCACUGUAUUUAUGCACCUGUCUCUAGUUAGAACCCUCUGGCCUUUGUUAGUCUUGUAUGUUUUUUUUAAUUUUAGUUCAUUUAUAUGUUUUUGAGUUUAGUAUGACAUCCACUUUUACUGAACUAGUACACAUUUUUGUGUAGGGCCUGCUGAAGCCUGCCUCCUGAUGCUGAGUUUUCUGGUUGAGUUGAAGAGCCAUUAGUGGCCUUCGGCUGUUUUCUGCUCUUUGGUUGGGUUGUUGUCUCUGACAUUAUUUUCAAUUUUGUAUAAGAUUCAUAUUUUUUGUUGGAAAAACCAGUCACCAAACCUGUUGUGUGCGGUGGCUCCCUUGUUUCAUUUUUUAUUUUGACAUUCUGUUCUUUUUAUUAUCUGACCAAGCUGAGCAACCUUCUACUACAAUGGUACC
Molecule: long non-coding RNA, 1545 nt
Filed under: Mytilus galloprovincialis (Mediterranean mussel)
Lineage: Eukaryota; Metazoa; Mollusca; Bivalvia; Mytilida; Mytilidae
Source: RNAcentral